RNAcentral lists this transfer RNA (75 nucleotides) under Gemmatimonadota bacterium. RNAcentral's name for it is "Gemmatimonadetes bacterium (marine metagenome) tRNA-Gly". It matches the Rfam family "tRNA". Rfam says of the family: Transfer RNA (tRNA) molecules are approximately 80 nucleotides in length. Their secondary structure includes four short double-helical elements and three loops (D, anti-codon, and T loops). Further hydrogen bonds mediate the characteristic L-shaped molecular structure. tRNAs have two regions of fundamental functional importance: the anti-codon, which is responsible for specific mRNA codon recognition, and the 3' end, to which the tRNAs corresponding amino acid is attached (by aminoacyl-tRNA synthetases). tRNAs cope with the degeneracy of the genetic code in two manners: having more than one tRNA (with a specific anti-codon) for a particular amino acid; and 'wobble' base-pairing, i.e. permitting non-standard base-pairing at the 3rd anti-codon position. Lineage: Bacteria; Pseudomonadati; Gemmatimonadota. The record is from RNAcentral.
GCGGGUGUAGCUCAGCGGUAGAGCUCCACGUUGCCAACGUGGUGGUCACUGGUUCGAAUCCAGUUAUCCGCUCCA